This 370-nucleotide ribosomal RNA is filed under the name uncultured organism. RNAcentral describes it as "bacterial SSU rRNA". It matches the Rfam family "Bacterial small subunit ribosomal RNA", at positions 526 to 896 of the family's 1533-position model. The record is from RNAcentral.
CGUAGGGUGCAAGCGUUAAUCGGAAUUACUGGGCGUAAAGCGUGCGCAGGCGGUUAUGUAAGACAGAGGUGAAAUCCCCGGGCUCAACCUGGGAACUGCCUUUGUGACUGCAUAGCUAGAGUCCGGCAGAGGGGGAUGGAAUUCCGCGUGUAGCAGUGAAAUGCGUAGAUAUGCGGAGGAACACCGAUGGCGAAGGCAAUCCCCUGGGCCUGUACUGACGCUCAUGCACGAAAGCGUGGGGAGCAAACAGGAUUAGAUACCCUGGUAGUCCACGCCCUAAACGAUGUCAACUGGUUGUUGGGUCUUCACUGACUCAGUAACGAAGCUAACGCGUGAAGUUGACCGCCUGGGGAGUACGGCCGCAAGGUUG